CCAUAAGUCCUAGCCCAUAAGUAAUUAACCAUCUCCUUCUCUUUCUCUCUCUCUAGGCCCAAAUUACCUAUCUCUCUCUUUCUCUCUCUCCCUCUCUCCCUCUCCUACAUAGACCCAAAACCCGACACCUCUCGCCCUUUCUCCCUCGCGGAUCCACAUUGUCUCCUCCAACGUCUUCUUCUCUAGGGUUUUCUCCUCAACCACUUUCUAGGGUUUUCGACUCGUCCGCUCCUCUCAACCUCACGCAUGAUGGCCGGAUUGCGAAGGAUCGUUCGCUGAGGCGAUCCCCCUUGAGCUCGCACGUGAUCGUCGCUUGGGAGGACCUUCGCCGAGGUGAUUCCUCUUGAGCUCGCACGUGAUCGUCGCUUGGGAGGACCUUCGUCGAGUCACACACGAUCGCCGCUUGGGAGGACCUUCGCCGAGUCGCACGCAAUCGCCGCUUCGGAGGAAUCGUUCGUCCACCUUCAUCAAUAUCCUUCUUUCUCACUACUUUUUUUUGGUAAGUUUUGAUCAUUUUUUGAUUUUUUUUUCAUUUUUAAUUAGCUUCGGGUAUUCAUGUAAAUAUCAUUUGUGCAUAUACUUUGUUUGUUUAUAUUAAUCUUUAUCUAGUUUUUUAUUUUUAAUUAGUUUUUUUUUUUUUUUAAUUAACUUCUGGUUCAACUAAUCAAAUCCACCAACAUUUGGAGAAUUGUGACUAUGACCGAUUAGUAUUUAGCUAGCUUGCAAAUCCACAUUUUUAAUCUAUAUUCUUCACCAUUAUUGGCUUGAUUAUUGCAGAUUAACAGCUAACUAGCAUUCCCAUCCCUGUCUUAGCCGAAAUAAACAUCUUGUCCAGCUUGAUUAUUGCGCUCCUCUAGAAGUUCCAUUUCAAUUUCAUUGAACAAAGAGAGGGCUCACAAGAUUUAAUAUAUCUAUGCAUAUAUAUAAANACAUUUCAUACUAACUGUCUAUUACUUUCUAUUAAUCCCGAAUAACAAAAGCUGAGGUGGCAUGACCUCCUUUUUUUGAAAUUUUUUUUAAUUUUUUUAUUUUUUAAAUUCCACAUAAUUCUCUACAUUCUAUAUUUCAUACUAACUAUUUUUUUAGCAAUUAAUUUUCUAAAUUUGGAAACUUUUCUGAUUUUUUUAUUUUUUAAAUUCCAUAUAACCCUCUACAUUCUACAUUUCAUACUAACUGUUAUUUUAGCAAUUAAUUUUCUAAAUUUGGAAACGGUUUUUCAUAAUUGCAAUUGAUAAAUUAUUAUAAACUAUAAUAAUUAAUUGUCAAAUUUAUUACUUUUUAUUAAUUCCACAUAACCCUCUAUAUUCUACAUUUUAUCUAUUACUUUCCAUUAAUCCCCAAUAACAAUAGCUGAGGUGGCAUGACCUCCUUUUUUUUGAAAUUUUUUCUGAUUUUUUUAUUUUUUAAAUUCCACAUAACCUUCUACAUUCUACAUUUCAUACUAACUGUCUAUUACUUUCUAUUAAUCCCCAAUAACAACAGCUGAGGUGGCAUGAUUUCCUUUUAUUGGAAUUUUUUUUAAUUUUUUUAUUUUUUAAAUUCCACAUAAUCCUCUGCAUUCUAUAUUUCAUACUAACUAUUUUUUUAGCAAUUAAUUUUCUAAAGUUGGAAACUUUUCUGAUUUUUUUAUUUUUUAAAUUCCAUAUAACCAUCUACAUUCUACAUUUCAUACUAACUGUUAUUUUAGCAAUUAAUUUUCUAAAUUUGGAAACGGUUCUUCAUAAUUGCAAUUGAUAAAUUAUUAUAAACUAUAAUAAUUAAUUGUCAAAUUUAUUACUUUUUAUUAAUUCCACAUAACCCUCUACAUUCUACAUUUCAUCUAUCUAUUACUUUCCAUUAAUCCCCAAUAACAAUAGCUGAGGUGGCAUGACCUCCUUUUUUUGAAAUUUUUUCUGAUUUUUUUAUUUUUUAAAUUCCACAUAACCCUCUACAUUCUACAUUUCAUACUAACUGUCUAUUACUUUCUAUUAAUCCCCAAUAACAAAAAGCUGAGGUGGCAUGACCUCCUUUUCUUGGAAUUUUUUUUUAAUUUUUUUAUUUUUUAAAUUCCACAUAAUCCUCUACAUUCUAUAUUUCAUACUAACUAUUUUUUUAGCAAUUAAUUUUCUAAAUUUGGAAACUUUUCUGAUUUUUUUAUUUUUUAAAUUCCAUAUAACCCUCUACAUUCUACAUUUCAUACUAACUGUUAUUUUAGCAAUUAAUUUUCUAAAUUUGGAAACGGUUUUUCAUAAUUGCAAUUGAUAAAUUAUUAUAAACUAUAAUAAUUAAUUGUCAAAUUUAUUACUUUUUAUUAAUUCCACAUAACCCUUUACAUUCUACAUUUCAUACUAACCUUUUUUUAGCAAUUAAUUUUCUAAAUUAGGAAACGGUUCUUCAUAAUUGUAAUUGAUAAAUUAUUAUAAACUAUAAUAAUUAAUUGUCUAAUAAACUAUAAUAAUUUCUAUUAAUUUUUAAAUUUUUUCAUUAAUAAAAUUCAAAAAUUAAAAAAAUGCCUCCAAAAGCUUAUGUUCUUAUCUUCUUCUUUUGGGCUUUGCUCACUAUUAUCAUCCCAACUCUCAUUUAUUGGUUAUCACCCACAAAAUGAUAUUUAGAUUUUCAAGGUAAUAUUAUUUUAAAAUGAAAAUUAUUGAGCUUUCUUUUUUUUAUUUUUUUUGAAUUGGCUAAAGUGUUAUUUUUUCUCUAUUUUAUUUCAUUUUGUGAUAUGAUAGGAAGGAAAAAUGUAUAUACAAGAUUUAGGAGAAUGAUGAGCUCAAUGAAGAUUGUAACAACUUUAAAUUAACAUCAUCAACCCCGUCGUCGUUGCCAGCACCAUCAACAUCGCCCAUUAGAUGAAAUGAUAUAACGAGGUAAUAGAAAACUUACAGAGUUUUUUUUUGUCCCUUUUUAUCCUUUUUGGUUAUCAUCCACAAAAUAAUAUUUAGAUUUUCAAGGUAAUAUUAUUUUAAAAUAAAAAUUAUUGAGCUUUCUUUUUUUUUUAUUUUUUUUUUAAUUGGCUAAAGCGUUGUUUUUUCUUUAUUUUAUUUCAUUUUUGUGAUAUGAUAGGAAGGAAAAAUAUAGAUACACGAUUUAGGAGAAUGAUGAGCUCAAUGAAGAUUGUAACAACUUUAAAUUAAUAUCAUCAACCCCAUCGUCGUUGCCGGUACCAUCAACAUCGCCCAUUAGAUGAAAUGAUAUAACGAGGUAAUAGAAAACUUACAGAGUUUUUUUCUCCCUUUUUUUUUCCCUUUUUUUUUAAGGAAAAAUAGAGAAAUAAGUUUGCAAAAGAGGGGAGUUGUAUGAUUUUAUUCAAACUAGGUUUUAUAGAAAAGGUUGAUGCUUCUAUGUAUAUUUGUGAGGUGUGUGCAUUUUUAGUUUUUUUUCCCUG
This 3364-nucleotide long non-coding RNA is filed under the name Ananas comosus (pineapple). RNAcentral's name for it is "long non-coding RNA (ACOM_LNC032531)". The record is from RNAcentral. Lineage: Eukaryota; Viridiplantae; Streptophyta; Magnoliopsida; Poales; Bromeliaceae.